Homo sapiens (human) is the source of this 772-nucleotide long non-coding RNA. Ensembl annotates it as long intergenic non-protein coding RNA 1917. The record is from Ensembl. NCBI's taxonomy places the organism in Eukaryota, Metazoa, Chordata, Mammalia, Primates, Hominidae.
AGAACUCUGAACAAGAUCAAGGUUCUAUCAGUGAUAAAUAAGGGAGGCUAAGAGAAAGAAUCAGUAAUCCUUUCUACACAGUGGCCUUGGUGAUUUCAAAACUUUAAGAAUAUUUAAAAUAUUCAAGUUCUUUCUCCAAAAACUGGUGACUUUCUGCUGCUGAGCUCCUGAAAGUUUUUGAGAAGAAAGUUGAAAGGUUGAAAAUGGUGCUGUGUUUAUUUGAAUAUCUGAAGGGUAAACUCCAAGCUACUUAUCUGAAAACAAAUAUUCUCUGAAACCUGCAGAGUAAAGAAGUAUAACUUGACAUUUCUUCUGCAAGAAAAAAACAAGAAGAUGGUGACUUUCAAGACCUCAGUCAAUGACUAAAGUUCUGUGACCACAGUGAGCAUAUUACUGCGGUAACCAGGGCAGUAAUGUCAAGACAAAGGUCAGGGUUGGCUUUAAGAAAGAAGCCUGAGAACCGGAACUACAUAGAGGCCAGAAAAUCAGUGUCUACAUGCUAAAGGCAAUUUUCAGGAACAAGUACCAGGAGCAGAUCAACAAAACAAAGAAGAUCAACAAAACAAAUAAGGAAGGUGGUUUUAUGAACCCAGAGGGGCAGUGGUUAUGAGUUGUGGUGCCACUUUAUUCAACCUUAUCUGCUUGGAAGUUUUUCUCCUACACCAUUAAACCCCUCACUGAACCAAACUUUGUACAGACUGCAGCCAAGAAGGGCUGUAUUAUGGCUUUCUUGGACCUCUUCAUCCACAAAAAUAUUAAAAAUUGUAUUUCA